This 452-nucleotide ribosomal RNA is filed under the name uncultured Escherichia sp. RNAcentral's name for it is "bacterial SSU rRNA". It matches the Rfam family "Bacterial small subunit ribosomal RNA", at positions 94 to 541 of the family's 1533-position model. Lineage: Bacteria; Pseudomonadati; Pseudomonadota; Gammaproteobacteria; Enterobacterales; Enterobacteriaceae. The record is from RNAcentral.
AGUGGCGGACGGGUGAGUAAUGUCUGGGAAACUGCCUGAUGGAGGGGGAUAACUACUGGAAACGGUAGCUAAUACCGCAUAACGUCGCAAGACCAAAGAGGGGGACCUUCGGGCCUCUUGCCAUCGGAUGUGCCCAGAUGGGAUUAGCUAGUAGGUGGGGUAACGGCUCACCUAGGCGACGAUCCCUAGCUGGUCUGAGAGGAUGACCAGCCACACUGGAACUGAGACACGGUCCAGACUCCUACGGGAGGCAGCAGUGGGGAAUAUUGCACAAUGGGCGCAAGCCUGAUGCAGCCAUGCCGCGUGUAUGAAGAAGGCCUUCGGGUUGUAAAGUACUUUCAGCGGGGAGGAAGGGAGUAAAGUUAAUACCUUUGCUCAUUGACGUUACCCGCAGAAGAAGCACCGGCUAACUCCGUGCCAGCAGCCGCGGUAAUACGGAGGGUGCAAGCGUA